UAGGGAAUCUUCGGCAAUGGGGGCAACCCUGACCGAGCAACGCCGCGUGAGUGAAGAAGGUUUUCGGAUCGUAAAGCUCUGUUGUAAGAGAAGAACGUGUGUGAGAGUGGAAAGUUCACACAGUGACGGUAACUUACCAGAAAGGGACGGCUAACUACGUGCCAGCAGCCGCGGUAAUACGUAGGUCCCGAGCGUUGUCCGGAUUUAUUGGGCGUAAAGCGAGCGCAGGCGGUUUAAUAUGUCUGCAGUUAAAGGCAGUGGCUUAACCAUUGUUCGCUUUGGAAACUGUUAAACUUGAGUGCAGAAGGGGAGAGUGGAAUUCCAUGUGUAGCGGUGAAAUGCGUAGAUAUAUGGAGGAACACCGGUGGCGAAAGCGGCUCUCUGGUCUGUAACUGACGCUGAGGCUCGAAAGCGUGGGGAGCAAACAGG
This 429-nucleotide ribosomal RNA is filed under the name bacterium. RNAcentral's name for it is "partial 16S ribosomal RNA". It matches the Rfam family "Bacterial small subunit ribosomal RNA", at positions 355 to 776 of the family's 1533-position model. The record is from RNAcentral.